This 73-nucleotide transfer RNA is filed under the name Levilactobacillus brevis. RNAcentral describes it as "Lactobacillus brevis tRNA-OTHER". It matches the Rfam family "tRNA". From Rfam's summary of the family: Transfer RNA (tRNA) molecules are approximately 80 nucleotides in length. Their secondary structure includes four short double-helical elements and three loops (D, anti-codon, and T loops). The record is from RNAcentral. Lineage: Bacteria; Bacillati; Bacillota; Bacilli; Lactobacillales; Lactobacillaceae.
GGACCUUUAGCUCAGUUGGUUAGAUCAGACGGCCAUAACCGUCCGGUCGUUGGUUCAAGUCCAACAAGGUCCA